AACAGCUCAAAAAUUAUAAUUCUAAAAUCAAAUAACUAAGUAUUCCACUAUUUUUACAGCCAGCAAAUAAUACACAAAAGUUUUAAAAAUUUUAGAGUUCUAUAUAUUCAAAACUGAAACUCCGUCAUCAUACAACAUAUAAUUUACAAUGGAUACACUGAACUAUAUGAAGCUAAGGAGUCGAGUUGUGCCAUUGAGUCCUGCUAAGAGGAGGGCUGAGAAAAGGAAGAGCCACUUCGUAUCUCCAAAGGGGGUUCAAGCAAGUAAGAAGCUUAAAGGUAACAAGGCUACCGGAAAAUUGACGUUAAGUGAGGAAGACAGUGAUGGUGAUGUGAUCUUUGUGUCCAAUUCUCGAGAUCCCUUAGAGUAUAUAGACCUGACUGUGUCCAGUCAGUCCCUUAGAUAUCUAGACCUGACUGGACGUGCAGACCAAUAUUAAAAUUCCAAUUUGAUUUCUCAAUUUAGUUACGGGGAAUUUGCAUUGUUUGUUGAAGGUAUAAUCAUAUUAGGAAGUUCGAUAUUUUUAAUGAGGAAAGUUUUAAAAGGAAAAACAAUUAGAAUCUAAAAUACGCAACAGCUGGAGUGCGGCGUUUAGGCCGAGAAAUUAUAUUACCAUUGUGAGGAACAUGGACUGAAUGCUUUGCAGCUCAUAGAGCAAGAACUCGAAUCAAUAGCCUAGCAGUAUUUUGUCAGCUUUCCAAUGAAUAUUUGUCAUUCAAAUUGUUAAGCUUUAUAUUUGCCAAAUAUCAUUUAAAUCGAUUUUGUAUUUAUUCGAAGACAGCUGAAAUUUGCUUUGAGUCAAUCUAUUUUAUUUGCAUCUGGCCUCGAUGGCGCCAUCUUGCGGUUAGUGGCGGCAGCCAUUCAGUAUUGUGUGCACCUUUUGCGUCAAGCUGCGUCCCCUGCUCCUCCUAAAACCCGCCGCACUGCCGCCCCGACACAUCGGCUCGACAGAUAAAAACUGGAAAACAGAAAGCACAAAACGCUGCCACAAGCCGCAAACAUGCUGAAAAAAAAGAGCCACUGGACAUUGGUGCGUUGCGGCCGGUCGAGCAGAGCAGCGAGGGAGCACAAAAAGGGGGCGGCGUUGCAAGUUCUAAGCACGUGUCAAGUGUGGGCCAAACUUUUAAUUUGCACAACGUCCCGGUCAGGGCAGCCAGCCCAGAGCCUGACUGACGCUGAGUGACUGUCAGGCUUGUUAGUCCCUUUAUAGCCCGGGGUACGCCUUGCUGUCUGACAAUGUCAUCAGUUGCAGCUGACGCAGCAGCAGCAUCAGUAGCAGCAGCACCAACAGUGAUACUGCCUCGAACACAGACCAAUGCCACGGCUACUCUUGCUCCUGGCCCUGCACAGUAGCUAUAGCAAUAGCAGUAGCAGUAGCACUAACAGAAGCUGUGGCAGUUGCAGUUGCAGUUGUUCUUCUCCUCUUUUUUCGUAUGUGUUUCGAAUGUGCUGUCCCAGCAGGGUGUUUGAGGCUACUGCUCCAAUAACAAUCCCUAUGCAACAGGCUAUAUAGACGACAGUAAAAGAAUUUUCAAUUAU
Drosophila hydei is the source of this 1539-nucleotide long non-coding RNA. RefSeq lists it as uncharacterized. The transcript is spliced from 3 exons. The record is from RefSeq and is a predicted model, not a curated record. NCBI's taxonomy places the organism in Eukaryota, Metazoa, Arthropoda, Insecta, Diptera, Drosophilidae.